This 2069-nucleotide long non-coding RNA is filed under the name Malus domestica (apple). RNAcentral describes it as "long non-coding RNA (MDOM_LNC008906)". The record is from RNAcentral. Lineage: Eukaryota; Viridiplantae; Streptophyta; Magnoliopsida; Rosales; Rosaceae.
CGCCAAUAUCAUUCUUAGCAUGUGUUUAAUGUUCUAGGUUCAGUUUUGAUAAUUGAUUGACUUAAAUUGAGUAAUUGAACCUAAGUUCGUUAUGAUUCGUGGUUAGGUGAAAAUGUGAAUUGACGAUCCGACCGUUGGAUCGUCACCAAACUUUGAUACGUUGUAAUACGUAAUAUUUGAGGAUUAUAGGAACUUACGGAUUGGGAAUCCGAUUUACGGAUCUUUCGAAAUUGGAGUUGUAAGUUCAUAAAAUAGAAUGUUAACCAUCACUUGGUUUUGACAAUUGACGGAGAUCCGACCGUUGGAUGGUAAGGAAAUUUUAGGAUGUUGUUCUAGAGAUAUAUUGUGGACCUCUGGAAGUUAUGGAUUGGAAAUUUGAGUUGCAGAUCUUCCGGAUCGAACUACGUAGUGACGUGUUUUAUAUAAGUUAUAUAUUCUAUCGAUAUGAUUUCUGAGGCUUGAUUUGAUGAUUGUUCUAGGCGCCGAUCGUCAUGACGUCUUGAUGUGUUGUGCUAGGGAGUUGUAGGGCGAACUCCAGGUGAGUGGGCAGUUUUGUUUUCCGUAUAUACCUAUAUAAAUGAGAUUUUUCCCAGGAAAUCAAUUUAAGUGAAAUGUGAUAUGAAAUGCGAUAUGAAAUGCCAUGCAAAACAUAUGCCUAAUUAUUUAUGCAUUAGUAAUUGCAUACAUGCAUGAUUGGUGCUGCGGACGCACAUGUAAGUGCCAGGUAAGUUCAUAAAUUAAAUUAUGUAAUUGUUGAGUUGAUAUGAUUGAAAGCUCAUAAACCUACACUAGGGUGAUCGUGAUUUAGUAGAGAUGAUUCAGGCAUGUAUAUAUAUGGUCACCCUGGCACCAUAUGCUCAUAAUUGGAUCCAAUUUAGGUGCAUGUCGUACAGACCAUUAAAGGUGGUUCCGACAUGUCGUACAGACCAUUAGAGGUGGUUCCGACUCGUAGGUGACUAGCGAUUUAUCGCAUAACUAUCAGGAGAGGAUAGCGUGAGCAUAACUAUAUUUCACCCAGUUUAGUCGCACAGACCUUUUCAGGGGUUCCGACUCGUGUGCAGUGUAGUGCCGUACAGGUCACUUGCGAUGACUCCGGCUAGAUAAGAUUGAUGAGAUUGAUUAUGAGCUAUAGAUUCAGCCGUACAGGCCACUAUAGGUGGAUCUGGUUAACAUAUUAUUUUUCAUGAGUUACUUAUAUGAUUUGAUGAGAUAUAUAUUUUUGGCAUGGCAUAUAAUUCACAUAUCACUACUUCUGAGUAUGGUUUGAGAUAAGUAUACGUAUUACAUAUUUCUGGGAAAGUAUACGGGUUUUACAGUGAGGGGUUAGCGUUUUGAUAAUGAGAUGAUUUUUGAAAAACUUUGUUUUACUGACCCACUCAACUUUGUUUUGCGCCCCUCCAGGUUCAAGAUAGCAGAACUUUGGUGGCCACAAGGAAUCCAACGGUGUUUUGACAGAAUUCAUAAAAGUAAGACUCACCCUCGGGUGUUACAUCUUAGUAAUUGUAUCUUUAAAGCUUCCGAACUGUGUAAAUGGUUACGUCACUCUCACGUGACGGCUAGAAUGCCCUCCUUCAGGACGGGGUGUGUCAUAAUAGGUUAAGGGUUAUGGUGUAAUAAAAAGAUAUUUAUAUGGACUCGAAGCCUCAACAUUUAUCAUUAGUGUGCAUUUUCGUUUUGAUAUUGCUUCCUAAUCCAUAUUUUGUUAGACCCACAUGGUUGAAUCAAAUAAAACAUAUGAACAUAAACUUACCUAGAGCUGCCACGAUUGAGAGAUUGUGUUGCUUGAAACUCAAAAAAGCUGUUAAAACUCAAAACUGGGAGGUCAACACAAAAUCAGUAUGACCAAUCUUUGAUGCGUUCAAAAUAUAAAACUAUAUCAGAGACUACUAAAUGGUUCACCCUUAUAAAUGUUUUACGUUCACUGGAACGGUCUAAUGUAUGUUUGCUUUGGAUUAUAAUAGUUCUCAAGACGAUGUAAUGUAAAUCUAUUAACAUGAAUUCGAUUACUUAUAAGCAAUACUUGGCCCCUUUAUAUAGGUCCUUAGUGAGCCCUAAAAGUCUUCGGCUUU